This 274-nucleotide ribosomal RNA is filed under the name uncultured bacterium. RNAcentral describes it as "partial 16S ribosomal RNA". It matches the Rfam family "Bacterial small subunit ribosomal RNA", at positions 523 to 796 of the family's 1533-position model. The record is from RNAcentral.
AUACGGGGGGUGCAAGCGUUAUUCGGAUUUAUUGGGCGUAAAGGGCGCGUAGGCGGCUUGGUAAGUCAGAUGUGAAAGCCCGUGGCUCAACCCCGGAAGUGCAUUUGAAGCUAUCAGGCUUGAGUAUGGGAGAGGGAAGUGGAAUUCCUGGUGUAGAGGUGAAAUUCGUAGAUAUCAGGAGGAACACCGGUGGCGAGGGCGACUUCCUGGACCAAUACUGACGCUGAGGCGCGAAGGCGUGGGGAGCAAACAGGAUUAGAAACCCCGGUAGUCC